CAGCAGUGGGGAAUAUUGCACAAUGGGCGCAAGCCUGAUGCAGCCAUGCCGCGUGUGUGAAGAAGGCCUUCGGGUUGUAAAGCACUUUCAGUCGUGAGGAAGGUAGUGUAGUUAAUAGCUGCAUUAUUUGACGUUAGCGACAGAAGAAGCACCGGCUAACUCCGUGCCAGCAGCCGCGGUAAUACGGAGGGUGCGAGCGUUAAUCGGAAUUACUGGGCGUAAAGCGCAUGCAGGUGGUUUGUUAAGUCAGAUGUGAAAGCCCCGGGGCUCAACCUCGGAAUUGCAUUUGAAACUGGCAGACUAGAGUACUGUAGAGGGGGUAGAAUUUCAGGUGUAGCGGUGAAAUGCGUAGAGAUCUGAAGGAAUACCGGUGGCGAAGGCGGCCCCCUGGACAGAUACUGACACUCAGAUGCGAAAGCGUGGGGAGCAAACAGGAUUAGAUACCCUGGUAG
RNAcentral lists this ribosomal RNA (452 nucleotides) under uncultured bacterium. Its description in RNAcentral is "bacterial SSU rRNA". It matches the Rfam family "Bacterial small subunit ribosomal RNA", at positions 349 to 793 of the family's 1533-position model. The record is from RNAcentral.